RNAcentral lists this unclassified non-coding RNA (585 nucleotides) under Hevea brasiliensis (rubber tree). The record is from RNAcentral. Lineage: Eukaryota; Viridiplantae; Streptophyta; Magnoliopsida; Malpighiales; Euphorbiaceae.
UGCUUAUUUAUGGUGGCAGAGGUGAAAUGCCCUGAAUAUCCUUACAUGGCAAUUGGAAUUUGUUGCUGAAUUCUUUUUUAGGAGUCUUUGACACCUGUUUAUGGUGCCAAGAUCUACUUGAGGAUUGCAGUUGCCAAAUUACUUUGAAAUUACUAGUCACUUGUGCUUAUCAAAUAUUGAUAAACAUAAAUUGUUACAAAAAACAUAAUAUGAGAGAAUAAUUCAGCCCACAAAUUGUAUAAACAAACACAAUACAAGAUAUCUAACAUGAUGGUGUGGCAUCAUUAAUGGCAUUGUACAGCACUCCGCUUUAUGGUCAUUUUAAUUUCUCUUUUCACUGUUCAUAUGCCCUGUGUUGUGUCAUAUGUGUCUUUGUUUAGGAACAAAGAGAGAACCAUCACACAUUUCUGUGAUGAUAAGUAUUCUCAUUAGAUAACUUGAAUGUUCUUAGUUUUCAACAAAAUUGAUGAGAUUAAUUAUAUGGUUACAUCAUUUUGUAUCAACAUCACAUUGGUGUUCCCAUUUGCAUUUGUUUGAGCAACUUUUAACUAACAGAAUUAUAAUCUUAACUUUGACAGGUGGCGG